UCCCGGCUAGCUCAGUCGGUAGAGCGUCAGACUCUUAACAAGAGCCUCCGAGAUUCCCUCGGAACAUAUCUGAAUGUCGAGGGUUCGAGCCCCUCGUUGGGAG
Molecule: non-coding RNA, 103 nt
Organism: Violaceomyces palustris
Lineage: Eukaryota; Fungi; Basidiomycota; Ustilaginomycetes; Violaceomycetales; Violaceomycetaceae
Source: the annotation of a GenBank genome assembly